Non-coding RNA from Xyrichtys novacula (pearly razorfish), 517 nucleotides. The record is from the annotation of a GenBank genome assembly. NCBI's taxonomy places the organism in Eukaryota, Metazoa, Chordata, Actinopteri, Labriformes, Labridae.
ACACACCAAAACUGCGUGAAGUGUUUGCCAAAAAAAGAUGGGUUGCUGGCACACAAAUAAGACCUUUGCUGGAUUCAAUCAGUCAGGUAAAAAUUAAAAUUACAACAAAACAUGUAAUUUGUGUGUUCUCAUGGUUGGUCCUGCAAAUUCUCCUGUCUGUCUCAACAGCAACACAUUGACAGCCAAAGGGAGGCCAUCAUCUGCUGUCUCACUGAAUUCUGUGGGGAGUCUUCGGGGGAUCUCAUCAAAGACUAUCAUGUAAAUUCCAUGUUUUUCACAUCACUGUGACUCACGUAUAUACAAUACUUCAUUUUUUACUAGCUCAUGUAAUCAGUAAAUUGGUUGAUAUGUAUAUGGUUUUAAUAAAUGAGUGUUAAGUGAAUUGUGAGACUACUAUGUACCUUAACAUAAAUUCACAUUUAUUCCACAGAAUGUCACCAGAGAAGCUGUUAAAGAGGACCAGGCAGAGCAAGUCCUGAAAAUUUGUGUCGUCCAUACUAGCGACGGAGAUGACCCC